RNAcentral lists this long non-coding RNA (227 nucleotides) under Elaeis guineensis (African oil palm). RNAcentral describes it as "long non-coding RNA (EGUI_LNC075231)". Lineage: Eukaryota; Viridiplantae; Streptophyta; Magnoliopsida; Arecales; Arecaceae. The record is from RNAcentral.
UCCUAUAUCAAUGCAUCCAUAUAACAUCAUGCCAAGUAAUGAGUGGUCCAUCGGUGUCAGUCUAGAUUCACAAGAAGAACCAACCUUCAUAUUAUUUUAAGGCAGAGGCAUGCAUUAAAGUUUGCAAAAACAGCUCGCCCAGCUUUUGUCAAGUGCGUGCCACCAUCAAACAUGCAAUUUAUGGGCUAAGAAACCAUCGGUAUCUUGAUGGAUGGCACCUCUAUCGC